UGAAGUAGAGGCGCAAUGUACAUCAGUAACUCUCCGAGGCGGCGGCCGGAGAAGAGGGUAAAAGGGUGCGUUGCCGAAACGUUUAGCCGGCGGGCUAAAUUGGUUGGGUCUGCAUCGAACAGAUGCAGGACUGUCAUCGGGACUUCGCUCAGACCGAUGUUGUGCUACUG
This 170-nucleotide non-coding RNA is filed under the name human gut metagenome. Its description in RNAcentral is "Lysine riboswitch". It matches the Rfam family "Lysine riboswitch aptamer". Rfam says of the family: Riboswitches are metabolite binding domains within certain messenger RNAs that serve as precision sensors for their corresponding targets. The record is from RNAcentral.